This 138-nucleotide ribosomal RNA is filed under the name uncultured eukaryote. Its description in RNAcentral is "partial small subunit ribosomal RNA". It matches the Rfam family "Eukaryotic small subunit ribosomal RNA", at positions 1296 to 1462 of the family's 1831-position model. The record is from RNAcentral.
AGUUGGUGGAGCGAUCUGUCUGGUUAAUUCCGUUAACGAACGAGAUCUUGACCUGCUAAAUAGGUAUCCUAAUGUGAUUAUCUUCUUAGAGGGACACUUUAUCGUCUAGAUAAAGGAAGCUUGAGGUAAUAACAGGUC